Molecule: transfer RNA, 76 nt
Filed under: Anaerolineales bacterium
Lineage: Bacteria; Bacillati; Chloroflexota; Anaerolineae; Anaerolineales
Description: tRNA-Thr
Rfam family: tRNA
About the family: Transfer RNA (tRNA) molecules are approximately 80 nucleotides in length.
Source: RNAcentral
GCCCUCAUAGCUCAGACGGUAGAGCACGUUCUUGGUAAGAACGGGGUCAGGGGUUCAAUUCCCCUUGAGGGCUCUA